RNAcentral lists this transfer RNA (73 nucleotides) under Zootermopsis nevadensis. It matches the Rfam family "tRNA". Rfam says of the family: Transfer RNA (tRNA) molecules are approximately 80 nucleotides in length. Their secondary structure includes four short double-helical elements and three loops (D, anti-codon, and T loops). Lineage: Eukaryota; Metazoa; Arthropoda; Insecta; Blattodea; Termopsidae. The record is from Rfam by way of RNAcentral.
GCCACGGUGGUCUAGCGGUUAUAACGCUGGCCUUGUAAUCCUGGGGUCUCGGGUUCGAUUCCCGGUGGUGCCC